RNAcentral lists this unclassified non-coding RNA (180 nucleotides) under Paraglomus occultum. RNAcentral's name for it is "partial contains 5.8S ribosomal RNA and internal transcribed spacer 2". The stretch from base 1 to 65 matches the Rfam family "5.8S ribosomal RNA", at positions 84 to 154 of the family's 154-position model. Lineage: Eukaryota; Fungi; Glomeromycota; Glomeromycetes; Paraglomerales; Paraglomeraceae. The record is from RNAcentral.
GUGAAUCAUCGAAUCUUUGAACGCAAAUUGCGCCUUUUUCGGAAGGCAUGUCUGUUUGAGGGCACCAUUUAACAAAUAAUGUGCAGCGUUUUUGGUUGCACAGUUGGAGAGCCUUUCCAGAAAUUUUAAAUUUUUGGGGCCCCAUAAUAAACAGCGGGAAAGUUUUUUUCAUUUGAGUUG